CCUACGGGAGGCAGCAGUGAGGAAUAUUGGUCAAUGGGCGUAAGCCUGAACCAGCCAAGUCGCGUGAGGGAUGAAGGUUCUAUGGAUCGUAAACCUCUUUUAUAAGGGAAUAAAGUGUGGGACGUGUCCUAUUUUGUAUGUACCUUAAGAAUAAGGAUCGGCUAACUCCGUGCCAGCAGCCGCGGUAAUACGGAGGAUCCGAGCGUUAUCCGGAUUUAUUGGGUUUAAAGGGUGCGUAGGCGGCCUUUUAAGUCAGCGGUGAAAGUGUGUGGCUCAACCAUAGAAUUGCCGUUGAAACUGGGGGGCUUGAGUAUGUUAGAGGUAGGCGGAAUGCGUGGUGUAGCGGUGAAAUGCUUAGAUAUCACGCAGAACCCCGAUUGCGAAGGCAGCCUGCCAGGCCAUGACUGACGCUGAUGCACGAAAGCGUGGGGAUCAAACAGGAUUAGAUACCCCUGUAGUC
This 460-nucleotide ribosomal RNA is filed under the name uncultured bacterium. RNAcentral's name for it is "partial 16S ribosomal RNA". It matches the Rfam family "Bacterial small subunit ribosomal RNA", at positions 338 to 795 of the family's 1533-position model. The record is from RNAcentral.